RNAcentral lists this transfer RNA (85 nucleotides) under Candidatus Saccharimonadota bacterium. RNAcentral's name for it is "tRNA-Leu". It matches the Rfam family "tRNA". From Rfam's summary of the family: Transfer RNA (tRNA) molecules are approximately 80 nucleotides in length. Lineage: Bacteria; Candidatus Saccharimonadota. The record is from RNAcentral.
GCGCACGUGGCGGAAUUGGUAUACGCGUAUGCUUGAGGUGCAUAUGCCGCAAGGCUUGGAGGUUCAAGUCCUCUCGUGCGCACCA